Molecule: ribosomal RNA, 254 nt
Filed under: uncultured bacterium
Lineage: Bacteria
Description: partial 16S ribosomal RNA
Rfam family: Bacterial small subunit ribosomal RNA
Source: RNAcentral
UACGUAGGGUGCAAGCGUUGUCCGGAAUUACUGGGCGUAAAGCGUGCGUAGGCGGUUUCAUAAGCUUGAUGUGAAAGCCCCGGGCUCAACCUGGGAAUGGCAUUGAGGACUGUGGAGCUAGAGUGCGGCAGAGGGAGGUGGAAUUCCACGUGUAGCAGUGAAAUGCGUAGAGAUGUGGAGGAACACCGAUGGCGAAGGCAGCCUCCUGGGCCGACACUGACGCUGAGGGCACGAAAGCGUGGGGAGCAAACAGG